Molecule: ribosomal RNA, 497 nt
Filed under: uncultured bacterium
Lineage: Bacteria
Description: partial 16S ribosomal RNA
Rfam family: Bacterial small subunit ribosomal RNA
Source: RNAcentral
GAUGAACGCUGGCGGCGUGCCUAAUACAUGCAAGUCGAGCGAACGGACGAGAAGCUUGCUCCUCUGAUGUUAGCGGCGGACGGGUGAGUAACACGUGGAUAACCUACCUAUAAGACUGGGAUAACUUCGGGAAACCGUAGCUAAUACCGGAUAAUAUUUUGAACCGCAUGGUUCAAUAGUGAAAGACGGUCUUGCUGUCACUUAUAGAUGGAUCCGCGCUGCAUUAGCUAGUUGGUAAGGUAACGGCUUACCAAGGCAACGAUGCAUAGCCGACCUGAGAGGGUGAUCGGCCACACUGGAACUGAGACACGGUCCAGACUCCUACGGGAGGCAGCAGUAGGGAAUCUUCCGCAAUGGGCGAAAGCCUGACGGAGCAACGCCGCGUGAGUGAUGAAGGUCUUCGGAUCGUAAAACUCUGUUAUUAGGGAAGAACAAAUGUGUAAGUAACUGUGCACAUCUUGACGGUACCUAAUCAGAAAGCCACGGCUAACUACGUG